UGGGGAAUCUUGGACAAUGGGGGCAACCCUGAUCCAGCCAUGCCGCGUGAGUGAUGAAGGCCUUAGGGUCGUAAAGCUCUUUCGCCUGUGAAGAUAAUGACGGUAGCAGGUAAAGAAACCCCGGCUAACUCCGUGCCAGCAGCCGCGGUAAUACGGAGGGGGUUAGCGUUGUUCGGAAUUACUGGGCGUAAAGCGCACGUAGGCGGACCAGAAAGUUGGGGGUGAAAUCCCGGGGGCUCAACCCCGGAACUGCCUCCAAAACUAUCGGUCUAGAGUUCGAGAGAGGUGAGUGGAAUUCCGAGUGUAGAGGUGAAAUUCGUAGAUAUUCGGAGGAACACCAGUGGCGAAGGCGGCUCACUGGCUCGAUACUGACGCUGAGGUGCGAAAGUGUGGGGAGCAAAACAGGAUUAGAUACCCUGGUAGUCCACACCGUAAACGAUGAAUGCCAGUCGUCGGAUAGCAUGCUAUUCGGUGACACACCUAACGGAUUAAGCAUUCCGCCUGGGGAGUACGGUCGCAAGAUUAAAACUC
This 531-nucleotide ribosomal RNA is filed under the name uncultured bacterium. Its description in RNAcentral is "bacterial SSU rRNA". It matches the Rfam family "Bacterial small subunit ribosomal RNA", at positions 355 to 902 of the family's 1533-position model. The record is from RNAcentral.